CGGGACGGGUGAGUAAUGUCUGGGAAACUGCCUGAUGGAGGGGGAUAACUACUGGAAACGGUAGCUAAUACCGCAUAACGUCUUCGGACCAAAGUGGGGGACCUUCGGGCCUCACGCCAUCGGAUGUGCCCAGAUGGGAUUAGCUAGUAGGUGGGGUAAUGGCUCACCUAGGCGACGAUCCCUAGCCGGUCUGAGAGGAUGACCAGCCACACUGGAACUGAGACACGGUCCAG
RNAcentral lists this ribosomal RNA (233 nucleotides) under uncultured bacterium. Its description in RNAcentral is "partial 16S ribosomal RNA". It matches the Rfam family "Bacterial small subunit ribosomal RNA", at positions 100 to 334 of the family's 1533-position model. The record is from RNAcentral.